AUGGAUGCCCUGGACUCUUCUAUCCGCAAGCUUUCUGCCAACCUCAGGAUCUUCACUUUCAAAGGAGGAUUUGCUUACAAACCAGAUGUCCCAGGAUGGAUUACCAGACCACCAUUCCACCGGGACUCUCAUCUUCGGGAGCUCAAUCUCGGGGGCUGCAGGUUUCAAAGGUGCCCCGAGUGGAUUGGUGAGCUCCACGGCCUCUACAAGUUGGGCAUUGUGGUGAGGGAGGUGGCUGAUGGUGUGAGUAUUGUUGCACGGCUGCCUUCACUUGCCCACUUCUAUUUGAUUGUUUCUGGUAUGGGUGAAGAAGAAAAGGAAGAAAGUGUAGUCAUCCCUGGCACUGGCAGCGGGGCAUUCCGAGCACUCAAGCAGAUGCUCUUCAACUGUCCAAAGGUGUCACUGAACUUUGAAGCUGGGGCUAUGCCCAAGCUAGAGAAGCUUUCCUUGCGGUUCCGUCACAACAUGGCUCCUCAGUUCCUACAGGUUGGCAUCCAGCACUUGCCUGCUGGCACCCUUAAACAAAUCUGGUUACAUGUGUACAGCAAUCAAACACAAAACAAAACAUCUGUGAGGCACCUGUUGGAGGGAGCAUUUAAGCAGCAUCAUCCAAGUGCCGACAUCACUGUUGACUUCAUUUAA
This 642-nucleotide ribosomal RNA is filed under the name Triticum aestivum (bread wheat). RNAcentral describes it as "partial small subunit ribosomal RNA". The record is from RNAcentral. Lineage: Eukaryota; Viridiplantae; Streptophyta; Magnoliopsida; Poales; Poaceae.